This 3301-nucleotide unclassified non-coding RNA is filed under the name Hevea brasiliensis (rubber tree). Lineage: Eukaryota; Viridiplantae; Streptophyta; Magnoliopsida; Malpighiales; Euphorbiaceae. The record is from RNAcentral.
UAAAAAAAAAAAUUAAAUAAAUAAAAGUUUACAUCGAUUUGAUUCAGAUUUUUGAUUAAAACCGAAAAAUGCUCCCCUAAUGGUGACAAAUUACACGUUCAGACAACUAGAUUCAAUUGUGGCCUCCCAGUUAAAGAGGGAAAAAAAAAAGCACAACGAUCCUUUUAUCAACUUAACAAAAUUCCAGAAGCAGUCAUGCAUUCUCUAACAGUUGCUGGCCUCCAGCUAGAAAACACAGGGAGUCUUUGGUACAAUCAACUGUCAUAAUAUAUGUCCCAAAAGGAGAACAAAUUAUGCCCCUAAAGUACUAACCAUCAGAUUUUGGCCUCCAGAUAUAUUGGCCCUGACCAUAAUGUGGACGUGCAUGGUUUCGCGUGGUUAAAUAACUCGGAUGACUUUCUUGUCUUUGCUUGGUAGAAUUGUCAGGACAAGUGCCCUGUCUUGGCUUGGUGAAAUAGUUGGGAUGCCUUUCCAGUCUUGUGUUCUGAACUGGAUGUUGCACUUGCAACUUCGAAUUGUUGGGACGAAUUUCCUUUGGCUUGCUCAAAACUUUGGGACGACUCUCCUGUCUUUUCUUAGCUAAAUAAUUGGGAUUUCCUUCCAGGCUCAUGUUCUGAAUUUUAUGCUGCACUUGUGACUGAGAAUACACAGCCCUGCUCAUCAUUGGACGAGUACUUUGGUAGUCCACAACAGUGUGACUUGAGCUCCCAGCAGGUGUUUCUGCAAUGAAAUUUAUUAUUUGUGGCCUGACUAACAUGCUAAGGAGAGAACUACUAUUGUGACUGGCCAAAACAAGCCUAUCAUAUGAUGUCUGAAAUGCUUCAGAUAUCUUUUCCAGGUUUCCAGCACUGACAGCCCUUGCAGUAUUCUCAGGCUGCUCAAAAGGAUCCUCAAUCUACCAGAUAUCAGCAGAAGAAACAAAAUCAGAAGUUUGAAUGAUUUUUUUUUUUUUGGGUGGUGGGGGAAGGGAGAGAGAAUUACAAAUAAUGCAUAUGUUUUGGGCAACCAUCUCAUAUUGCUGCUUAUCUCUUGCCAUUGUCCAGUAAAUGGGCAAAUUCCUAGCUCUGCAGCCUUUGAACGAAUGUCAGAAAACUGCAAAAUACAUAACAAAGUAAACAUAAAGAGGAAAUGGGCAGGAGCACUUCUAAAUUUCAAGGACCUAAAUCAAGAACACUAAAAAACAUAUUAUAUCCAUAAAAUAUGCAGUUCACUAUCACAUUAAUACAUUAUUGCCAUUUGAAAGCACAUUAAGAAACUUUGGCCCGAUAAAAAAACAUAAUCAACAUUCAUAGAAUAUACAAGUCCUGAUAUGUUUUCACAUUUGAUCCAAAUGCUACAAUCACUAGCAUAUAGAAUGGCCAGAGUUAUAUUACCUUUGCAAGGAAUGAAAUGAAAAGCUCAGAAAGAGAACUUCGAUUAACUGCCCUGUAUUUUUCUGACAUAUAUUUAGAUAUGUUAGCAUUGCAAAUUUCUUUAAUGCGCUCCUCUGCAACAAUCCUCACACCUUGCAACAAUUUGGAUUGCAGGAAUAUCAGAUAAUCAGAUUGGUAUUGAUGCUUAAUGGAACUCUACAUCAGUACACACAAAUGAAGCAGAUCAUACAAUCUAUGUCUGCAAAGAAACUGUGAAUCAAAAUUAACAUUAUUCAAUAACUUUGAGAUGAGAUGAACUCCAAGCCAAAAAAUACUUCCUUUUCCUGAAGGGUUGGGAAAGGGUGUUCAAAAACACAACUAGUAAAUUUAAUGAAAUGAUUAAAAGAUACAUGCAAUCAAGGACUAUAAAUUUUAUUGCAAUGAAAAUCAUUUUUUUCUCUAUAUUGAAAUCAAAUUAAGAGGAAGGGGAAGGAGCAGGAAAGUGGAAAGGGAGUUGUUCUUUUAAGCAAUUUAAAGGAACUUGGAGUCGUCAACUAUCAUUUCUCCUCAAGUAAGAUUAAAUAUGAGAAGUACCUGCAAGAUCAUCAACAGCAUUUCUUGGAUAUAUUUCUUUUAGAGGAGGUAAAAUAGCAGGUACACAUGUCUGAAAAUGGAAUAUAACAAGUAAACUGAGGGAGUAUGAGUUUAAUGUCCCAGACUUUGGAUUAUUGAUAUUGUGAGCUUUGGCCCAUUCCUUGACCAGUAAGACCAAAUCGCGAAAACGUCCAUCUAUCUGGCUGAUCCAGAACAAAAAAUUGGACUUCAUUCGACCCUGCAGAUUAUCGAUUGAAAUAUCACACGAGAUGCUCUGGCGGCCACUCUCAAAUUUUAAGAUGGGAACUCUUGCAUUUGGAACAAAUUGUAACCUACGCCAUCCACCUUUCUGCCUCAAAGCUCUUAGUAACUCUCCAAGUAAAUUCUGUUUGCGCUUCUUUCCAGCCGAUGAAAUAUAAGAACCAUUUGAUAGUACAAUAGCGAUAUCUAAGUCUCCCCAUCGAGUGAAGAGAUUGGACACAAAUGAUCCAAAUGGCUCCACAGUUGCACCUCUAAGACUUUCCACAGAGGUAACAACAUCUUUUAACUCUUCAAUAAUUUUAGAUCGCACUUCCCAAUCCUCUCGUAAAGGUUUAAUAACCUCAAGUACAUCCUUAAUAGUAGGCUGCAGUAUGCCACACGCGUUCAUUCUUUAAUCACUGUUUGAUAAUGCUGACGACACAUUUAAACAAAAGCCAAAACUCAGGUGCAACACUUAUCAUUAGUUAGCGCUUAAGAACUAUGCAGAAAGCAAACAUAACAUAACAGGAAAUAAAUACGAACCAUUAGUAAGGGCCUACUAAGUACAACAUCUGGGUGCAAUGAAGUGAACUGCCAAUGGAAGUUUCAUUUCACAAAGCUAUAGGUGACAAAACAGCAGUUAUAAAACAAUCAAACACAAAAGAGAGUGCAUGUGAAAUACAGAAAGAGACACGAAACGAUAGUGUGCAUAUAAAAUGGAAUUUUAAGCACAUCUAUACAUAAUGAAUGCUCCAUGAGUUUCUCAUUUUACUAGAAAACAUUUUCUGCAUUUUCUUAUUUUUGGUUUUGGGUGAUUAGAAACAUUAUCUGCAUUUUCUCUGAACCUUUGAUGUCAAUACUAAUCCAAUUAACAAUGCCUCCUCCCUUAAGUCUAAUGCCUAAGAUCAUAGAGAGAAUUCAAGAAAACACAAACGUGAUGCUAGAUUUAUCCAUCUACUUCUCUACAGGCUAAUGCUCUGCCUUCUCGUUAUUCUACUGCAAGAAUUCUUACACAUGCCUUUUUCCUUUCUUUUUCUUUUUAAUGGAAUUCUUACAUAUACCUCUUAGCAUAGUUAUUAAAGGCGCGCCUUAGGCUCAAGGCUCACCAGGCUCGA